RNAcentral lists this long non-coding RNA (388 nucleotides) under Elaeis guineensis (African oil palm). RNAcentral describes it as "long non-coding RNA (EGUI_LNC081289)". Lineage: Eukaryota; Viridiplantae; Streptophyta; Magnoliopsida; Arecales; Arecaceae. The record is from RNAcentral.
CCCCUCAAAUGCUUUGUAAUCAUCAAAAUCAAUUUAAAGAGCAACAAAUGCCAUGUAACAAUCAUAUAAUAAGAUCUUAGAUCUAGAGAUUCUCUGAUUUUAUAAGAUAAAUUUUGAUUUAUUUUAGUCUUCCGCUACCUGAUCUUGAAAAAGUUUCAAGAUCUAACCCUGAAACCCUAGAUCUGGUUUCUUCAAUUGGUAUAAGAGCCUAGGUUAUUUAUUAUAAGAUUAUUUAUAUAUGCUUAGAUUAUUUCUUAGAUUAGAUCUAAUUUAUAAUUUGAUUGUUAAAUCUGAAAUUAAAAUUUUUAAAUCAAUCACAAACUGUAUGUUGUCCUACUGUAAGGUUUACUCCUUACAGUGCAAAGGUUGUCCUAGUUCGUGUAGAUCU